GACCCUUGUGGAUAUCUGUAGUAAUUCUAGAGCUAAUACAUGCACGCAAGCACCGAUCCUCCGUGAGAAGUGCGCUUUUAUUAGAACAAGACCGGCGGUGAGGAGUAACUACCGUAGCCCCGUCGUGUUGACUCUGGAUAACUUAGCCGAUCGCACGGCCCUGGACGCCGGCGACGCAUCUUUCAAAUGUCUGACCCAUCAGCUGGUUGGCCGGGUAGUGGCCGGCAAAGGAGGUGACGGGUAACAGAGAAUCAGGGUUCGAUUCUGGAGAGGGAGCCUGAGAAACGGCUACCACGUCCAAGGAAGGCAGCAGGCGCGCAAAUUACCCACUCCCGACUCGGGGAGGUAGUGACGAAAAAUAACGAUAGACGACUCAGUCGAGGCUGUCUAAUCGGAAUGAGUAUAGUCUAAAGCCUUAACACGAGGAGCUAGUAGAGGGCAAGUCUGGUGCCAGCAGCCGCGGUAACUCCAGCUCUACAGGCGUAAACGUGAGUUGUUGUAGUUAAAACGCUCGUCGUUGGAUUUGAACCUAGGCCGCGGACGGUACGGGGGCAGAGUUCCCUCGCUAUCGGUGCGGUCGGUCGCAGGCGAGUUGCACACACAGCGGAUCCCCUUGGUUGGGCGUCCGCGGGCUCGCGUACGUUACCUUGAACAAAUGAGGGUGUUCAUGGCAGGCUAGCACACGCCUGGAUAGUCUAGCAUGGAAUAACAGAACUCGACUCCGGUCUUUUUCUGGCUGGUCUCUAGGACUCGGAGGGAUGAUCAAUAAGGACGGCCGGAGGCGAUAGUACUCCUGCGUUAGAGGUGAAAUUCUUGGAUCGCAGGAUGACUGACCGCAGCGAAAGCAUUCGCCUAGCACGUCCUCAUUAAUCAAGAACGAAAGUUAGAGGAUCGAAGACGAUCAGAUACCGUCCUAGUUCUGACCAUAAACGAUGCCGACAGGCGAUCGGUCGUAAGUACUUUGCAAACCCUUACUCAUGACACGGCCGGCAGCCCUCGGGAAACCAAAGUCUUUGGGUUCCGGGGGUAGUAUGGUUGCAAAGCUGAAACUUAAAGGAAUUGACGGAAGGGCACCACCAGGAGUGGAGCUUGCGGCUUAAUUUGACUCAACACGGGGAACCUCACCUGGGCCGGACACUGCAAGGAUUGACAGAUUGAGAGCUCUUUCUUGAUUCGGUGGGUGGUGGUGCAUGGCCGUUCU
This 1201-nucleotide ribosomal RNA is filed under the name Eurysyllis tuberculata. Its description in RNAcentral is "SSU rRNA". It matches the Rfam family "Eukaryotic small subunit ribosomal RNA", at positions 132 to 1294 of the family's 1831-position model. Lineage: Eukaryota; Metazoa; Annelida; Polychaeta; Phyllodocida; Syllidae. The record is from RNAcentral.